This 21-nucleotide non-coding RNA is filed under the name Caenorhabditis elegans. Lineage: Eukaryota; Metazoa; Nematoda; Chromadorea; Rhabditida; Rhabditidae. The record is from RNAcentral.
UUUAUUGUAAUAUUUGUAGAA